UACGGAGGGUGCAAGCGUUAUCCGGAUUUACUGGGUUUAAAGGGUGUGUAGGCGGGCUUUUAAGUCAGUGGUGAAAUCUCCGGGCUCAACCUGGAAACUGCCAUUGAUACUAUUAGUCUUGAAUUUUGUUGAGGUAGGCGGAAUAAGUCAUGUAGCGGUGAAAUACAUAGAUAUGACUUAGAACACCAAUUGCGAAGGCAGCUUGCUAAACAAAUAUUGACGCUGAGGCACGAAAGCGUGGGGAUCAAACAGG
Molecule: ribosomal RNA, 253 nt
Filed under: uncultured bacterium
Lineage: Bacteria
Description: partial 16S ribosomal RNA
Rfam family: Bacterial small subunit ribosomal RNA
Source: RNAcentral